CAUUACACACUGUUGGAGAGAUUUAUAAAGAAUGAAGUUGUGUUUAUGAAUUAUAUAGACUGCAAGUGUUUAAAAAAUGAAAAUAUCGACGGCUCUUGUCUCCGUGAAUACAGUAAGCAACGAUGGUAGUUUAACCACAUUUAGCAGUACAUUAGCAACAUGCUAACGAAACAUUUAGAAAGACAAUUUACAAAUAUCACUAAAAAUAUCAUGAUAUCAUGGAUCAUGACAGUUAUUAUCGCUCCAUCUGCCAUUUUUCGCUAUUGU
Megalobrama amblycephala (Wuchang bream) is the source of this 267-nucleotide long non-coding RNA. RefSeq lists it as uncharacterized. The record is from RefSeq and is a predicted model, not a curated record. The transcript is spliced from 3 exons. NCBI's taxonomy places the organism in Eukaryota, Metazoa, Chordata, Actinopteri, Cypriniformes, Xenocyprididae.